This 148-nucleotide small RNA is filed under the name Pongo abelii (Sumatran orangutan). RNAcentral describes it as "Metazoan signal recognition particle RNA (ENSPPYG00000041389.1)". Lineage: Eukaryota; Metazoa; Chordata; Mammalia; Primates; Hominidae. The record is from Rfam by way of RNAcentral.
GCCGGGCGUGGUGGUGCGCGCCUGUAAUCCCAGCUGCUCAGGAGGCUGAGGUGAGAGAAUUGCUUGAACCCAGGAGGCAGAGGUUGCAGUGAGCAGAGAUCGUGCCACUGCAGUCCAGCCUGGGCAACAGAGUGAGACCCUGUCUCAA